AAAAAAACAAACCCUGCGUUUCCGUGUCUAAUUUUAACUGUCCGUCUUAUAUAAAAUUUUUUUAUAAUUUGUAUUUUUAUUGUUGUUAGAUGAUAAAAUAUAAUUAAUAUUUUAUAUGUGACUUGUCUUUUUAAUUUUUUUUAUAAUUUUUUCAAAUAAGACGGACGGUCAAAUAUUGGACACGGAAACUAAGGUUUGCUUCUUCU
Oryza barthii is the source of this 206-nucleotide non-coding RNA. Lineage: Eukaryota; Viridiplantae; Streptophyta; Magnoliopsida; Poales; Poaceae. The record is from Rfam.